GACAGUCCACCAAAAGAUGUCAAACCAAAUCCAGCCUAUUGUAAAGCUCUGGGACCUCCCUUCCAAGGACACCGAACACAAGCUUAGACACCGCUGCGAAAAGCUGUCCAAAAGCGCCUGGCCGGACAGAAAUGGUUGCCGUGCAGGGAGUGUCAGCCACGUCUAGCGCACAGUCCCAGGCCCCAGGGCGAAGGCGGCCAGGGGAAAUGGGGCUCAGGGAUUGCUAAGCAAACGCAUCACUGGUGGUCUCCAGCGCCUGCGGAGUAUCUUUUGCUGCCUCUUACGUAUUGUAGGCAGUGCCUGAUGGCUGAGAAGAAUCGCAGAGGACUAGAAAAGGUUUGAGUCUGAAAUUAUCUGGCACAGAGGAUUAAAGCUCAGAAAUAAGUGAUUGCGAAACAGUUCAACUUCCCUGUUAAUGACAACAACAACAGCAACACGCUUAUUAAUUCCUAGCUGGAGUUUUUCCUAAUUAACAGCAUCAAGCUUAUGAAGAUUUCCAAGACUUUAUUGUUGACCCUUGUUGAAGAGAACUCUACUUGGCUUCUUUCCUGGCUUUCCUAAAUUGUUCACAUACAAGAUAAACUACCGUCAUUCAGACUUACAGAAGUGAGAAGACAAGCUGAACCAAAUGUAAAAUGGUAGCAAUUUACAGAUGUCAGAACUAACAUGUGGAUGAACUUAGAGAUGGAGAAGAAAGCUGGGCUUUUCCAAAGAGUGGAUCUAUCUGAACUGGAUAGCACUAUUGAACUUUGUUGCAUAUUUUGUGGUAGCUCUAAAACUCCUCUGCUUGCUUACAUACAACCAGACACCAGUGCCUUCUGAAGCUAAUCCAGGCCAUUUUUAUAACCUAAUGCAGUAGCACUUUGCAAUUAGAUGAAGAAGAUCGGUGGGAUUUCUUUCUGUGGUGAUUAAAAUGUGUCAGGGGAAGAAAUCAAGACAAUACUCCAAGUGAAAAAUAUAAAGUCAGUUAUUUCUUUAAUAUUUUGUGUUAUAGUAAUCAUUUUUAUAUUUUGAGCAUACUUUUUCUUGUCUACUUAAAUACUCAAAAUUAAUUAUAAAAUGUAAAUGUAAGCACAAUGAGAUACCAUCUCAUCCCAGUUAAAAUGGCUUUUAUCAAAAAGAUAGGGAAUAAUGAAUACUGGUGGAAGGAUGUGGAGAAUGGGGAACCCUCGUACACUGUCAAUGAGAAUGUAAAUUAGUACAGCCACUAUGGAAAACUGUAUGGAAGUGCCUCCGAAAACAAAGUAGAACUACCAUGUGAUCCAGCAAUUACACUAGUGGGUAUAUAUUCAAAAGAAAGGAAAUCAACAUAUUAAAGAGAUAGCUGCAUUCUCAUGUUUAUUGAAGUCCUGUUGAAAUAGCCAAAAUAUGGAAUCAACCUAAGUGCCCAUCAGUGGAUGAAUGGUUAAAGAAAAUGUGAUUGAUAUGCAAUGGAAUAUUAUUCAGCCAUAAAAAAGAAUGAAAUCCUGGCGGGGCACAGUGGCUCAUGCAAGUAAUCCCAGCACUGACCUCAUGAAGACAGAGAGUAGAUUGGUGGUUACCAGAGGUUGAGAAGGGGAGAGGAGAGGAGGGAUGAAGAGAGGUUGAUUGAUGGAUAGAAAUAUACAGUUUGAUAAUGAUAAAUCAGUAGGGUGACUAUAGUUUAUAAUAACCUAUUGUAUGGUUCAAAAUAGCUAAAAGAGAAUAAUUGAAAUAACGUAAGACAAAAAUUUAAGAUGAUAGAUAUCCCAAUUACACUGAUUUGAUCUUUACAAAUUAUAUGAAUGUAUUAAAUUAUUACAUGUAUCCCCAAAAUAUGUACAAGUAUUUUGUAUCAAUAAAAAAUAAAAUUUAAGAUAAAGUAAAUGUAAUGAUUAGCUUAUAUUUCCUAGAUCGGAAAUAAAUAUUUACUUAAGUAUGUUUAUGAUGAAGAGUUUUUUUAUAUUACUAUAAAAAUAGACACCUUACAUAAACAUAUUACAGUUGGUGUUUAGAUGGCUCUUUUUUUUCUGGCCUUGAAUUUCUGGAAAGUAGGUAUGGCCUGCUAUGUCAGGACUAGUUCUUGGAAUUCUUUGUUGUUUUUCAGUCAGCCUUAUUUUCUUGGGUCAUGUUUUGAACAAUAUUUAUCAAAUGUCUGUUUACCAGACGUUGUUCCAGAUGCUUGAACAAAAUGAAAUGUCUGCUGUCAUAGAGUUUCCAGUCUAUGUAAGACAGUAAACAAAUGUAUAAUAUAAUGCUAGAUAGUGAUAAGUGCUAAAAAGAAGAAGAAAAUAGGAAAGGGGAAAGAGAGUUUCUGUGUGAUUGUAUGUGAAAGUGUCCAUGCAUGCCGCUCACCCAGUAUUUUAAAUAGAGUGAUCAAGGAAGCCUGUCUGAAGAAGUAACAUUUGAACAGAGAUCUGAAAUAGUCAGUCACGGGAACAUUUAGGGAGAUGUUCCAGGCAGGCAUUGUGGACAAUUUAUGUCACAAAAAAGUCACCCAAGUGUUAAGUCAAGUAACAUCCUGUAUGAUAACUAUAUAUACAUUUUUUUGUUUUUUCUUAAGUGAAAAACAAACUUAUUAGGUUUUCUGGGUACUCAUUAGGUUUUCAGAAAAGUUUUUCAUUUAAUAUCAUUAUUGCUGUAUAUUUCCCUUAAUGAUUAUUCUAUUAUUUAAUACAUAAGAUUUAUGGCUCUACAGAUACAGCUUCACAAUCCCUUAUCUGUAAUUCCAAAAUACAAAAAAAUUUCUUAAUUCAUUUAGUGGCAAAAUCUGAACUGACAUGAAUCUAUUUAAAAUUAUCCUUUAUGGGCCAGGUGCAGUGGCUUACGCCUAUAAUCCCAGCACUUUGGGAGGCCAAGGCAGGAGGAUCACUUGAGGCCAGGAGUUUGAGACCAGCCUGGCCAACAUGGUGAAAUCCCAUUUCUCCUAAAAAUACAAAAAUUAGCUGGGUGUGGUGGCACAUGCUUGUGGUCCCACCUACUUGGGAGGCUGAGGCACGAGAAUCACUUGAACCUGGGAGGUGGAGGUUGCCGAGAUCUUGCCACUGCACUCCAGCCUGGGUGACAGAGCGAAACUCUUGUCUCAAAAAAAAAAAAAGUAUUUAUUCCAUUUAGUGUGACUACUGAUACAUUUCAUUGUAGAAACAUUAGUGUGUUUGAUGAAGGGUUGCUACACAUUAAGUAAAAUAUAGAUAAUACAAUGUAUUGUACCCUAAAAUAUAAAAAAAAUUAAAUCCAGAAACACGUGUUCCCAAGAAUUUUGGAUAAGGGAUUGUAGAUCUGUGUCAGAUUUCUUCUUGAUUUUCUGAUUAAAUGUUACCAUUGUUGUUAAUCUUUAGAUACAUUGUUUUUAGAAGUAUAAUGCUAUAUAGUGCCCUUAUUAUAUACUGGCAUUGCAUAAGCACUCUAUAUAUUAGCUAAUAAAAUGCUAACAACAACUUUAUGAGUAAAUUCUAUUAUUCCCAUUUUAUGGAUGAGAACACUGAGACGCAGAGAUUAAGACACCUGCCCAAAUCACAGUUACUAAAUAGCAGAGCUAGAACUCAG
RNAcentral lists this long non-coding RNA (3504 nucleotides) under Homo sapiens (human). RNAcentral's name for it is "non-protein coding MALINC1:48". Lineage: Eukaryota; Metazoa; Chordata; Mammalia; Primates; Hominidae. The record is from RNAcentral.